RNAcentral lists this ribosomal RNA (426 nucleotides) under uncultured bacterium. RNAcentral's name for it is "bacterial SSU rRNA". It matches the Rfam family "Bacterial small subunit ribosomal RNA", at positions 356 to 773 of the family's 1533-position model. The record is from RNAcentral.
GGGGAAUAUUGCACAAUGGGCGAAAGCCUGAUGCAGCAACGCCGCGUGAGUGAAGAAGGUCUUCGGAUCGUAAAACUCUGUUGUUAGGGAAGAACAAGUAUCGUUCGAAUAGGGCGGUACCUUGACGGUACCUAACCAGAAAGCCACGGCUAACUACGUGCCAGCAGCCGCGGUAAUACGUAGGUGGCAAGCGUUGUCCGGAAUUAUUGGGCGUAAAGCGCGCGCAGGCGGCUUCUUAAGUCUGAUGUGAAAUCGUGCGGCUCAACCGCAAGCGGUCAUUGGAAACUGGGAGGCUUGAGUGCAGAAGAGGAGAGUGGAAUUCCACGUGUAGCGGUGAAAUGCGUAGAGAUGUGGAGGAACACCAGUGGCGAAGGCGGCUCUCUGGUCUGUAACUGACGCUGAGGCGCGAAAGCGUGGGGAGCAAAC